UAUAAAUAUAUAUAACCUAUAUAAUUUUUAGGCCCAAAUACAGCCCAUAAGGACGAACUGCUAAACAGAGAGUGCUAAACGGGCUAACGUGCCGGCCUGAUUAACUAAGUGGCCGUGCCUGGGCCUGGAGGCGCAGCACGCGGGCCGGCACGGCACGCCAGCUGUGCUCCGGCGUUUGGAGUGCCUAAAAAAAUGCUCCGGCGUUUGGAAUAAAAAAAAAGGCGUUUCUUAUCCCAUUGAGUGUUCCACGGCGGCGCGGCGUGCCUCCAUCCCCUCCGGCCUCUCCCCCCGACCCCGGCGGCACAGGCGGCCUUCAAGUUCCGGCCGGUGUCGGAGACGAAACGGCCUAUAUAUAGAUGGAGGAGAGGGCGGAGGAGAUCGAUCUGAGCAAGCCGAGGUUGCGCACGAUGGGGAGAAAGCUACCCCCUUCUGCUCCGGCCACGACGCGGACUCCGGCGACGGGAAGGCGGCGCAAAGGCCCCUCCUUGGCCCCGCUCUCCGCCUGCAAGCGCCGGCGGACCCCUGAGGCUAGCGGCUGGGCUUCCCUCCCCACCGAUAUAGUCCACCUUGUCGCCAGCCGCCUGCUGACCGGCGACGUGGUGGACUACAUCGUCUUCCGGGCCGUCUGCUCCGGCUGGCGCAGCUGCACGGGCCAAGUGAAUGGAAGAGAGACCAAUGAUCAAGAGUAAAUCUGUGUAUAUCAAUGAUGACAAGUUACAUUUUUAUUUGCACUCACCAUGUGGUGGUUGAAUCAUAUAAGCACACAUAAAUGCUGAUAACAUGGCCACUGUUCCUACAUUGGUAGGUAUGGUUCGGCUAA
Triticum aestivum (bread wheat) is the source of this 820-nucleotide long non-coding RNA. RefSeq lists it as uncharacterized. The transcript is spliced from 2 exons. Lineage: Eukaryota; Viridiplantae; Streptophyta; Magnoliopsida; Poales; Poaceae. The record is from RefSeq and is a predicted model, not a curated record.